UGUGGGAGCGAGCUUGCUCGCGAUAGCGGUAUGUCAGCCAGCAUGUGAAGUGACUGAUACACCGCCAUCGCGAGCAAGCUCGCUCCCACA
RNAcentral lists this unclassified non-coding RNA (90 nucleotides) under Pseudomonas sp. NFACC24-1. The record is from RNAcentral. Lineage: Bacteria; Pseudomonadati; Pseudomonadota; Gammaproteobacteria; Pseudomonadales; Pseudomonadaceae. RNAcentral also lists the same sequence under 1 other name.